This 429-nucleotide ribosomal RNA is filed under the name bacterium. RNAcentral describes it as "partial 16S ribosomal RNA". It matches the Rfam family "Bacterial small subunit ribosomal RNA", at positions 355 to 776 of the family's 1533-position model. The record is from RNAcentral.
UGGGGAAUCUUCCGCAAUGGACGAAAGUCUGACGGAGCAACGCCGCGUGAGUGAUGACGGCCUUCGGGUUGUAAAGCUCUGUUAAUCGGGACGAAUGGUUCUUGUGCGAAUAGUGCAAGGAUUUGACGGUACCGGAAUAGAAAGCCACGGCUAACUACGUGCCAGCAGCCGCGGUAAUACGUAGGUGGCAAGCGUUGUCCGGAAUUAUUGGGCGUAAAGCGCGCGCAGGCGGAUUGGUCAGUCUGUCUUAAAAGUUCGGGGCUUAACCCCGUGCUGGGAUGGAAACUGCCAAUCUAGAGUAUCGGAGAGGAAAGUGGAAUUCCUAGUGUAGCGGUGAAAUGCGUAGAUAUUAGGAAGAACACCAGUGGCGAAGGCGACUUUCUGGACGAAAACUGACGCUGAGGCGCGAAAGCCAGGGGAGCGAACGGG